UACGUAGGGCGCAAGCGUUGUCCGGAAUUAUUGGGCGUAAAGAGCUCGUAGGCGGUCUGUCACGUCGGAUGUGAAAGCCCGGGGCUUAACCCCGGGUCUGCAUUCGAUACGGGCAGACUAGAGUGUGGUAGGGGAGAUCGGAAUUCCUGGUGUAGCGGUGAAAUGCGCAGAUAUCAGGAGGAACACCGGUGGCGAAGACGGAUCUCUGGGCCAUUACUGACGCUGAGGAGCGAAAGCGUGGGGAGCGAACAGG
Molecule: ribosomal RNA, 253 nt
Filed under: uncultured bacterium
Lineage: Bacteria
Description: partial 16S ribosomal RNA
Rfam family: Bacterial small subunit ribosomal RNA
Source: RNAcentral